Molecule: long non-coding RNA, 4342 nt
Organism: Sitophilus oryzae (rice weevil)
Lineage: Eukaryota; Metazoa; Arthropoda; Insecta; Coleoptera; Curculionidae
Exons: 10
Source: RefSeq, a predicted model, not a curated record
UAGUAAUUUUUAAUUAAACGUAAAUUAGUAAAUAAUGUAAUUUCACAUUAUAAUGAGAAUUAAAGUAUUAGUAAUUUAUUUUUGUUACUAAAAUUAAAUUAAGCUGCAUAUGAAUCUUUUUAGUACUAAACUGCUUUGGAAUGAAUUUUUUGGGGGGACAACAGCAGGAUUAGAGCCAUCUUCUAGAUGCCAUCAGGUAGGUGCGCUAGCGUAGUCGUUUGUUGUAGCAUUAUAUCCCCUUUCCCCCUUUUUAAAAAUGUUUGUAAGACGCCUGAAAUUUGUAUAAAUUAGUUAUAUAAGUGGUCGAAUAAGUAUUGGUGAGACUUGGAAAAUAGAAGAGGACAGAGAAGAGGAUUGCUUUGAAAUAGAAGGAAAGGAGAUAGAAGAUGUUUGAGGAAAGGAGGAGGAUUUUGUUUGCUGUAACGGAAGUUUUUUGAAUGAAAUUUGGAGCAACUGUAUUAAGAUGUUAUUGGUAUCUUGGACAUCAAGUUUCAUUUAUUUAUGUAUUAUAUGCAUAUUUAUUGGUGGAAAUGUAGAAUGGCAGCUGUUAUAACAACUUGGAUGGAUUAUUAGAAACACCAAAGAACUUUUGACAUAAUUUAAACUGCGAAAAGGCUCACAAAUAACCAAUUUAUUCUACAGUAGACACAGGACAUUAAAUUGACUUCAACAACGCAGAUAUCUCUCAAAAAUGAUAUCGGUUCGAGUGAUGUACUGGGCGUUAAUAGUUGCUGUUACAAAACUUCAAAUGAGUUACUACUGUACAUAAGUUGGAGGAAUGCCAAGGAAUUUUUUGAAUAAAGUGAUACUGGAAAUCUUACUCACAAAUGACAAUUUUAAGAUACAAUCAAUAGUAUUUGGAUUGAUUGGCCUUCAUUACCGUUGCGCUAUGAAAAUGUAAGCAAUACAAAUUGGUAUUAAUGGACGUUUUGACAGCUGUUUUCAAUCCAAGUUCCAGUUUUAAUGGAAAAUCUUUAAUGGACACUGAAAAAUGCCAUUUACUGGAUUGACUUCAACACCUGUUGUCUUUUAAUAAUGGUAUACAAUGGGACAAUUGGUGUUAGAAGUCAACAAGUAGUACUAGUUGCAAAUAAUAUAUUAUGGCGGCCAUCAAAAAACUUUAAAUGAAAUGAAAGUUGCAGAAAAAGACUCAGAGGACUGUACUUAAUAGCUGUUAGAGUGGAUGCAGUCCUUCAUCAAUGUGAGCUGAAGAAAUUGAUGGUAAUGGACAUUUUGACAGCUACUGUCACAACUCAACGAACAAGUUGCAGCUUUGAAGGAACAUUUUUGAUUGGAUACAGAAAGAUGUCAGUCGUUUCAGGAUGUAAAGUUAAUAGAACCAGGGUCGGGCUCGACAUCUGUUGCCUUUUAAUAAUGGCAUACGAUAGGACAAUGGCUAUUAGAAAUCGAUAAGACAUACUAGCUGCAAAUAAUAUGUAUGAUGGUCAUAAAAGAGAUUUAAAUGAAAUGAGAAACUCUUGUGCAGAAGAAAUCAAGGAAAACCAUUUUGAACUGCUGUUACUUAAUAGCUGUUAGAGCGGAUCCAGUUCUUCAUCAAUGGUAUAUGCUGGGACAAUUGCUGUUAAAAAUCCACAAGCCGUACUAUCUGUAAAUAUUAUGGUGGACAUGAAAAAGCUUUAAAUGGAAUGAAACUUACAAGAAAAGACUUAGAAAGACCAUUUAGGACUGUACUUAAUAGCUGUUGAAAAGUGGUCGCAGUCCUUUAUCAAUGAUAUCUCUGCAUUUUCUUAACAAUGGAUAUCAACAGUUGCUCCUACUCCUCACUUUCCUCUUUCACUCAAAAUAAAGCAGACUCAAUACUUCUCAAUGCCUCACCAAGGUUCGUUAGCUUCAUUAAUAUUGUUAUUGUUUCAAUAAAUUUGUUUACUGGUUUUUAUCCUGUUCUUAACUAUUUAAGUAUAUCAGGCGUCAUAUUAGUGUCAUUGAUUAUUUGUAAAAUUUUGAUAAUCUGGAUAAAAAUCUUUUUUUUUUUAAAUAGGACCAUUAUUUCUGUUUAUAUUAUCUUUUUAUUUAUUUAUUUUGAUACUCUAUUUAUAAUCUAAUCGCCUCUAGUUUGAGGCAUGUUUGAUUAAUUUUAAAUCAUUAAAAUCUAUGCAUUAAUCUUUAUGAAAAAUAUGUUGAGCAAUAUUAUAGUAAUCUGUUAUAAUUUCUCUUAAGCUUUUUUUCAAUCUCAUUUAUCUUUUAUUUUUGCAUUCAUUAAAGGUCAUUAGAUAUUGUAAUUAUUAAUUAAAUUGUUAGUUGUAUUAUAACGUAAUAUUUUUUUAAUAGAAUUAAAGACAUUCUUUAUAAAUUUGUAUCAUUACCAAUUAUUUAUAGUAGUAGUUUUUUAGUUAUUUUUAAUUAAUUACUCUAAAUUUAUUCCGGAUUAUCAAAAUUAUAAAUGUUAUGCUUGCGCAGCUGCGUCACUAUAGCUCUAUGAACACGAGUAUUAUUUUGGUUUUAAAGUUUAUAUUUUUACAUAUUUUAUUUAUAAUAAAUACAUAUAUCUACGAUCAGAUGAUAAUUUAAUAGUAAUGGUCAAUUUAAUCAUUUUUAUAAGUUCUGGAUUGAUUAUUUUUAGUAAAAUAAUCCAUUUUGUUAAUACUUGUGUUCAUAUAGUUUUUUUUUGCUUUUGUGAAUUAUUUUUGGUACCCUAGGACAGGAUGGGGUGGUAAAGGGAAUAAUUGCCCCUCCCAGAAAGUAAUUUAUAAAUAAAAUAAAAAUAAUGACAAUUCCAAGUUUAUUUUUUUCCCACGAUUACUAAAAAACCUUUUAGCAAAAAUUUCAUUCAAAUCUACUAGUUUACUUAAAUAUCGCAAUUAUUCCUCCCAGAUCCAGUCUGUAGAUGCGCCACUGGCCUAGGGACGGAUGUUUUUUCAUGACUGAUCAAUUUUUGUCAUUAUAAAAUAUUUUUUUUUUCAAACGUCACAAAGUAUUAAUUUUUGCGACGUGAUUGACAAUAUAAAAAAUAUUUUAAUGCCUAGGCAUAAAAAUACGAAAAAAUAUAUUAUUAAACUGACAUUAAGUGUCAAAUUUAACUAGCGUAAUCAUAGUUUCUCGAUAUAUAAUUACUUACUUUUAAAUGUUUUUAUUUUAUUUGCGUCGUUCUUUGUGUUUAAAUCAUUGCAUCAAUUAUUUGUGACGUUUGAAAAAAAUAGUAUGUUCUAUUCGGAGUAAAAAUGACUUUUUGUGCCUCGCCUGUAUGUCGAACGUACAGCGUCGCCACAAAAAGUAUCAUUUUUACUCCUAAUAAAUCGAUAUACAUACUAUUUUGUAUUGUUUUAUGUCAUGUGUAAUAUAGUCUAUCCAAUGAGAGGAGCCCUGACAGUGACAGUUGUGUGUGUCAUUUUAAUUAACAGGUAAAUUGUAUUUUCUGUCAUUUUUAAGAAUGUCAUCUGUCAAACUCUCCUUCGGCUCAUUGAACAGGCUAUAUGACGUAAGCCAUUUUGUAUAUAUUUGUAAUAAUAAUAAUUUUAAUGCAGCGAAAUGGAACAAAUUCGAUAAUAAAUAAAUAGGAAUAUGUCGUAUAAAACGCUUGCCCACGUGGACUGACAAGAUUUUUAUACAGGGUUCGUCAUGAAACAGUCGCUAAUACCGAUUUUCUAUUGUAUAUUCUAAAAUCUAGCGCAUCUGUCAUAACAUAAUACAAAUUAACUUAACAAUUUUAUUUUUUACAUACAACAUUGCUGUUUGUCCUAAUUUUAAACAAAAAUUAUACUACUUAUUUAUAUCUUUUUCAAUUUUUUUGUAAAUAAAUAAAAAAUAAAAAGUUUUUGGUCAAGUUUUAAUUUUAAAUUAGCAAACAUGUCAUAAGCUCUCAAUCGUUACAGUUAUUGGUAUAAACAUGUUUAAUGUUUUACCCUGUAUAUUAGGAGUGUAUUAAAUAGCACUUUUUUUCUGAUUUCAAAGAUUAUCACACAUGCUUUUUAAUUUUAACAGUGUAAAAAUGUUGUAAGUUGUCAAUUUUGUUAGUGUUAUUGGUAUGAAAUGUAUGUUUUUAAAAUGGGACACCCUGUAUAUUAAAAGUAAAUAUGAUAGCAGAUUUUUUUAUAUCAAAUAUAUAUUACACAUUCUUUUAUUUUUAACAGAGACAGAGUAUAUUCAUAUUAUAUCUAAAUAUAUUCUAAGAUCGCCUAGCGCAUUCGCCAUAAUAUAAACUAAGCGAAACUAUUUAUUUUUUUAAAUAAUAUUUAUUAUCGCAUUUAUUCCAUAUUCAUUUGUCUUGCUCGAAGUUCUGUAAUUAAUUAUCUAGAAGUACAUGGGGCACCAUCUGUUUGUUAUAACGCUUCUUUUUUAAUAUUUUGUCUGUGAUAUUUCAACUUAAAAACUUUGUGUUUGACGU